Molecule: ribosomal RNA, 492 nt
Filed under: uncultured bacterium
Lineage: Bacteria
Description: partial 16S ribosomal RNA
Rfam family: Bacterial small subunit ribosomal RNA
Source: RNAcentral
AGUGAACGCUGGCGGUAGGCCUAACACAUGCAAGUCGAACGGCAGCACAGUAAGAGCUUGCUCUUACGGGUGGCGAGUGGCGGACGGGUGAGGAAUACAUCGGAAUCUACUUUUUCGUGGGGGAUAACGUAGGGAAACUUACGCUAAUACCGCAUACGACCUACGGGUGAAAGCAGGGGAUCUUCGGACCUUGCGCGAUUGAAUGAGCCGAUGUCGGAUUAGCUAGUUGGCGGGGUAAAGGCCCACCAAGGCGACGAUCCGUAGCUGGUCUGAGAGGAUGAUCAGCCACACUGGAACUGAGACACGGUCCAGACUCCUAAGGGAGGCAGCAGUGGGGAAUAUUGGACAAUGGGCGCAAGUCUGAUCCAGCCAUACCGCGUGGGUGAAGAAGGACUUCGGGUUGUAAAGCCCUUUUGUUGGGAAAGAAAAGCAGCAGGUUAAUACCCCGCUGUUCUGACGGUACCCAAAGAAUAAGCACCGGCUAACUUCGUG